RNAcentral lists this ribosomal RNA (136 nucleotides) under uncultured eukaryote. RNAcentral's name for it is "partial 18S ribosomal RNA". It matches the Rfam family "Eukaryotic small subunit ribosomal RNA", at positions 1299 to 1458 of the family's 1831-position model. The record is from RNAcentral.
UGGUGGAGUGAUUUGUCUGGUUAAUUCCGAUAACGAACGAGACCUUAACCUGCUAACUAGUUGCGAGUACGCGAGUAUUCGACACUUCUUAGAGGGACUGACUACGUUUAGUAGUCGGAAGUUUGAGGCAAUAACA